Molecule: long non-coding RNA, 2653 nt
Organism: Heterocephalus glaber (naked mole-rat)
Lineage: Eukaryota; Metazoa; Chordata; Mammalia; Rodentia; Bathyergidae
Source: Ensembl
GCCAGGGCCGGCAUCUCGACAACACCAUCGGACGCCAUCCAAGACGCCAUCCGGGACGCCAUCCGGGACAGAGCCCCCCAUUUCCCACCUCCACUCCGGGGGGCAUUUUCCCUGUCUAAGGGCUGGGAUCCAGCAAGUGUCCCAGGCCAGUCCCAGCCUCCCUGCAUCUUAAUGUCCCCAUCUCCCACUGGGACAGCGAUGCCAGCUCGCUUAAUGACCUGCUGUGACAAGUGACUCCCCAACCUCCAACCACGGACUCGAAGCAAAGGUUUAUUUCUGGCCCAAAUUCCACGCCUCUGCUCAUCAGAGAGAUGUGGCCAAGCCGCCCCACCCAAGGCCCACGAGCUCUAACCCAGGCCACGUUCAGCCUUUGUCAUCCAAGCAGCCGUCAUUCCAUUCUGAUGCUGUCCCGAAAUCUUCUGCAAGCAGUAAUGGUGCAGAACUGUAGACAAUUCACAGAAAAGACAGAUACAUCUGGGUUUCUCAUGGCUUUAAGACCGUGCCAUUGAGCUGGGUGGUUCUGAGCUGCACAUCUGCUGUAAGCUUCAGCAAAUCACCCCAAGAGCUGACGUGUGGGUAAAUACCACGCCUGGGCCACAUGGGCCCUGCAGAAAUGUCACCUGGAUACCCGAAGACAUCACCAGAGACAGAGUGCAAACCAGGACAUCCAUAGCCUGGAACUGCCAUGUUGAAAAUAUACUGUUUCUAUGCCAGUAAGUCGGAACGUGUAGCCCCAGAUGAGGGGCUCUACAAGACUGUCCAAGGGUUCCACAGCUCUGGGGCACACCAUCAGCUCGGGCGGUCUAGUUACUUGGCGAGGUCUUGGCUCCGAGGACCUUGCUUUAGGGUCCCUUCCAAUUGUCCUGGUUGUCCUCUUAGUUACAUCAGUGACCCCCUGCAUGUUGGAUUCUUUCAAGAGUCAUAAAUGCUUGUCAGCAGCCAUGAACUUGCAGAUGAUCUUCAUGAACAUUUCUCUGAAUCACUGAAAGGACCUGCUGAGCUUCUAGUCUGUGAGCUGGGAUGUCUGUGGAAAAGAAACAGAGCUGACCAAGUCAUGCUGCAUAGCUUGGUCACAUUCUCAGUUCAGUUGAGGGGAUAACCACUAGAUACAGCCCCUGGCCCCCAGCUCAGAGCCAGACGUUUCCCUGGAGUGCUGGCUCUGAUCAGAAACAAAGCACAAAGUGUGCAUUUUAGGUCCUUGUCAGCUGAUUCCGUGAAAGCAAACCGAUCAGCUGCAAACCAUCGGCCUGAACAGUGGCGUCUGCUGUAAAGGGUGAUGAUGUGGAGCAGCUGUGCCCCAGAAUCGGCCAUCGUCUCCAUUGACCUGACCAUGGGAUGGGAGAGAAGUGCCCGACUUCGCUCUCUCUCCUGUGCCAGCCAGAGAUAGUGGGGCUGAGCUACCACCUUGCUCCCCUUCGCAGCCCCUGGGCCCUGGAGGGUGGACUGGGACAACUUGGCCCUUGUCACAGUGUCCUCCCGCCACCCUGAGGCUGCUGGGGCGCUGCCCUCUGCGCCGUGCUGAUGGGAGGUGCAGCGUGGCGCCCCUCCUCCACACCGCCUGCUCCGGAUGUGGAAGAAGUGGGGACUCAGCCCCUAAAGUGGCAGAGAUCAGGGAGGGCCUGAGCCCAUUAUUAACCCCCAAGCACCCUAUCCCCAGUAAGAUGUGCCGAACACAGCUAACCCUCCUGAAGAGUCCCCAGUUUCAGCCAUUUUUUCAGAGACACAACAGCUAUCAAAUCCCUCGUGUCACCCUGAGCUCUCAUGGAACUGCCAUGAUGGCUGUGGCUGUCCUGGAUGCCCUACACCUGCUUGGACCAAUCACAGGCCUAUACGUGGACCAAUCACAGGAUUGCAGCUGUUGCUGUGUUUCCCCCCAAAUAAGACCUAACCGGAAAAUAAUCAGCCUUGAAAACUGGAGCCCAAGAAUGGCAGCCUCAAUCACCUUGCCUUACCUGCCACUACAGAGCAGCCACUGAGCAAGAGAGUAGUGAUGUGCAGUCUUCUCCAUGACACUGGCCAUCACCAUGAUGCCGACAGAUGGAAUGAGGGUUGUCUCCGGCCUGCACAAGCCUUGGAUCCUGCAUCAGCCCACAGUUCAGAUGGCUGCCAACCCCGGGCAUAGAACGGACAUCAAGGCCUUCCCUGUGUGUGACCAUAGGCUGAGCUGGCCACAUUUGUCCCAGCUGACCCCUCCUGGGGCUUGCAGAGUGCCUGUGGCUGGAGCCAGGCCUGGCCUGGGUGCUGGGUGUGCGGCUGGCUCCCCACAGACCUGGCUGGUCUGGGACAUGGAAGAGAUUACGAGCAGCUCACUGCGGUAAGGCCUGCACAGCAGCAGUGUCCACGCGCUCUCUGGACAAACUAGGGAGGCAAAGCCACUGCAGGGAGCCCUGCUCCUCUCACCUCUCGUCCAACUCCUGCUGUCCCAGGCUGUCCUGGUUUCUUCGAAGACUGAAACCCACUAGGGCAGGGGGUCAAUGUGAUGUCCAGUGCCCUGGGCCCAGGAGGUGGCAGUGACAAUGCAGGAAGUGCCCAGGGAAGGUCUAGUUGGAGAUCCAGUGUCAGGGCAGCAGGUGAGCUUGGUGUGGAGGGAGAAUGACACAGGGCAAACCAGGUCGGGCGGUGCUGUCACUUGGGACCAGUGGGGGACAGGGAC